GUACCCUCAAGCUUUGCUUGGUGUUGGGCGUCUGUCCCGCCUCUGCGCGCGGACUCGCCCCAAAUUCAUUGGCAGCGGUCCUUGCCUCCUCUCGCGCAGCACAUUGCGCUUCUCGAGGGGCUACGGCUCGCGUCCAACAAGCACAUUUACCGU
Molecule: unclassified non-coding RNA, 153 nt
Filed under: uncultured Dothideomycetes
Lineage: Eukaryota; Fungi; Ascomycota; Dothideomycetes
Description: sequence contains ITS2
Source: RNAcentral